CUGUGAUUUCUCAAUUUGCCGAAGACUCAAUUAAUGGCAGACCUGGGAUUACAAAGCGGGAAGCGAGCCUGCCCAGCCUCCAGAUCCUGGACCCAAUGCCCCGGGGAAGGAGAUAGGCUGGGAUGGUGGGGAUACCAUCCUCCUGCCUCCUACUGGAAGCUCCAAAGAUGAGUCCUGGUGUCCACCACAUGCUGAAAGGAAGCCUUGUCAACAUGGAAGGAGAUCAAGGCAGCCGGGGGGUGCUGAAACCUCCUGUCUGGUCCAGCAUCUCUGAGGAGAUAGAGACACUUCGGAUGCUGCCCCCACCCCCUCCUGGAGCUCUCUCCACUCGAAUUCCGAGAGGCUUUGGAAUCACUAGACUGUCUCCCGCUCCCAGGAAACCCCAGGCUUCAGUGGAGCCAGGCGACUGGCCAUCCAUCAUCCUUAUCUCCCGGCUCUGGCGGCCCCAGGUCCCUGGCCUGGAUGGGCCCAGGGGGCCGGGAGGGGUUAGGAGGUGGGGGCUGAGAGGGCCUCGAUAACAAGAAAAGCAGCUGUCCCCUGGGGGAACUUCAAAGUGCCUGGAGCUGAAAUUUAUGGGCAGAGUUGCCCAUGUUAGGGGCCGGAGGGCCAUUCAUCCCACAAAUAUUUAUUGAGCACCUACUGUAUGCCAGGAACUGGGCUGGGGGAAUCUUAUGGGCCCAGAGAUUCUGUUGUUUGUUUUGUCAGAUGUCUACCUCGAGGGCUAGGUUUGAUGAAUGGAUCAAUUCGUUAAUUCAUUAAGUACUUAUUAAGCACCCACUGUGUGCCAAGGGUUUCUGGGGACCCAAGGCUGUUUGAAUGGUUAAGUUAAUAUGCCCCCUUCCGUGGGCAGGGUUUGAGAUCCACUAACACAGAGGUUUUAAGGGCUUUAACCUGCCCAAGGUUACUAAACCUCCCUGGGUCUCAGCUUUCUUGGCUGUAAAACCAGGAUAAUAAUGGCACCUAUCCUGUAGGGCUUGGGAGAAGAUGAAAUGAAACAAGAAACUAUAGAUCAAAGGCUUAGCCCAAGCCUGGCAAUGUCAUCUUGCAACAAAAGUGGCUAUUUUUUGUGAUUGCAGUUGAUCGAUAUAAUUACUCAUUUAUUACGUGUUUAUUGAGUAACUGCUAUGUGCUGGGCGGUUGCUAGAGGGGCAACUGGGCUUGUUGGCCUGGGAGGGUUUGCAAGAGUCCCUACUGCUCCCCUCAGGGGUCUCCUUGGCUGAGGCUUCCAGGGUUAUUGUGAGGAUAAAAUGAGAUAAAGACAGC
This 1263-nucleotide long non-coding RNA is filed under the name Equus caballus (horse). Its description in RNAcentral is "lncRNA (ENSECAG00000050843.1)". The record is from RNAcentral. Lineage: Eukaryota; Metazoa; Chordata; Mammalia; Perissodactyla; Equidae.